GAUAAACGCUGGCGGCGUGCCUAAUACAUGCAAGUCGAGCGAACGGACGAGAAGCUUGCUUCUCUGAUGUUAGCGGCGGACGGGUGAGUAACACGUGGAUAACCUACCUAUAAGACUGGGAUAACUUCGGGAAACCGGAGCUAAUACCGGAUAAUAUUUUGAACCGCAUGGUUCAAAAGUGAAAGACGGUCUUGCUGUCACUUAUAGAUGGAUCCGCGCUGCAUUAGCUAGUUGGUAAGGUAACGGCUUACCAAGGCAACGAUGCAUAGCCGACCUGAGAGGGUGAUCGGCCACACUGGAACUGAGACACGGUCCAGACUCCUACGGGAGGCAGCAGUAGGGAAUCUUCCGCAAUGGGCGAAAGCCUGACGGAGCAACGCCGCGUGAGUGAUGAAGGUCUUCGGAUCGUAAAACUCUGUUAUUAGGGAAGAACAUAUGUGUAAGUAACUGUGCACAUCUUGACGGUACCUAAUCAGAAAGCCACGGCUAACUACGUGCCAGCAGCCGCGGUAAUACGUAGGUGGCAAGCGUUAUCCGGAAUUAUUGGGCGUAAAGCGCGCGUAGGCGGUUUUUUAAGUCUGAUGUGAAAGCCCACGGCUCAACCGUGGAGGGUCAUUGGAAACUGGAAAACUUGAGUGCGGAAGAGGAAAGUGGAAUUCCAUGUGUAGCGGUGAAAUGCGCAGAGAUAUGGAGGAACACCAGUGGCGAAGGCGACUUUCUGGUCUGUAACUGACGCUGAUGUGCGAAAGCGUGGGGAUCAAACAGGAUUAGAUACCCUGGUAGUCCACGCCGUAAACGAUGAGUGCUAAGUGUUAGGGGGUUUCCGCCCCUUAGUGCUGCAGCUAACGCAUUAAGCACUCCGCCUGGGGAGUACGACCGCAAGGUUGAAACUCAAAGGAAUUGACGGGGACCCGCACAAGCGGUGGAGCAUGUGGUUUAAUUCGAAGCAACGCGAAGAACCUUACCAAAUCUUGACAUCCUUUGACAACUCUAGAGAUAGAGCCUUCCCCUUCGGGGGACAAAGUGACAGGUGGUGCAUGGUUGUCGUCAGCUCGUGUCGUGAGAUGUUGGGUUAAGUCCCGCAACGAGCGCAACCCUUAAGCUUAGUUGCCAUCAUUAAGUUGGGCACUCUAAGUUGACUGCCGGUGACAAACCGGAGGAAGGUGGGGAUGACGUCAAAUCAUCAUGCCCCUUAUGAUUUGGGCUACACACGUGCUACAAUGGACAAUACAAAGGGCAGCGAAACCGCGAGGUCAAGCAAAUCCCAUAAAGUUGUUCUCAGUUCGGAUUGUAGUCUGCAACUCGACUACAUGAAGCUGGAAUCGCUAGUAAUCGUAGAUCAGCAUGCUACGGUGAAUACGUUCCCGGGUCU
This 1372-nucleotide ribosomal RNA is filed under the name uncultured bacterium. RNAcentral describes it as "bacterial SSU rRNA". It matches the Rfam family "Bacterial small subunit ribosomal RNA", at positions 28 to 1381 of the family's 1533-position model. The record is from RNAcentral.